UACUAAGUUAACCUAGGCUGGUGUGUC
This 27-nucleotide non-coding RNA is filed under the name Bombyx mori (domestic silkworm). The record is from RNAcentral. Lineage: Eukaryota; Metazoa; Arthropoda; Insecta; Lepidoptera; Bombycidae.